This 731-nucleotide long non-coding RNA is filed under the name Dermacentor andersoni. Its description in RNAcentral is "uncharacterized LOC126547428". The record is from RNAcentral. Lineage: Eukaryota; Metazoa; Arthropoda; Arachnida; Ixodida; Ixodidae.
CUUGCAGAUGGGAAGAGAAAGAAAGACUGCCUGCUCAGCCAGUCUUCUAAACUUUUCCUUUUUGACACUGCCGAUUGUGUUGCUGGCUGGUAUUAAGAUCAGCCAGCAACGCAAGCUACUUCACUGCUGAUUAGCUUUACCGGUCUACGAUGUUUCACAUCUAUUAGUCCCAAUUUAUGGCAUUUGUUGACACAUUAAAACAGCAGCCUACUUGAACAAAGCAUGUUGCUCUGCAAUGAAUACAGACAGCUUCUAACUUGCUCUUGGAAACCUCAAAGCAUGAAAAGGCAAUGCAUGGUUUAUAGAAACGUUCUGUGGUUUGCGCAAGUGUCAGAACCUUUACUUCUGCCUACCUCUGAUUAUUCUGUAACGUGACCAAAUCUGUCCACAUUGCAUGUAUUUCUUCACGGGGAAUGUGUAUCAGAAGGUCCAAGUUAGCACUCCUUACUGUGUUCAGUGGCACACCUGUUGUGAACUGGCGCUUUUGGACUUGACCAAAGCACAAUGGUGUCUCAAGGUUUAGACGUGACCAACACAUGCAUCUUUGUGUCAUGCAAACGAAAGGCCUUUACACUGAGCAAACAUCAAGGAAUUGGAAUAUGAAGUGACAAAAGCAAAUUCUCAGUGCAAUGAUCCUUUAAAUGUACUACAAAGUCUCUUUGUAGCCGGGCAGUUUACACAUAUGAGCCCUGCACAGAUAUUAGUACGUAGACAAUAGAGACAGUAUAAAA